UGUUCUCAAAGAUGUGCAAAGUCUGCCAAUCCGCACUUUGCCAGCGACUAAGCUAUGGCCAAAACCCGUCUCAUUCUGAGAAGAGCCC
This is a long non-coding RNA of Maniola jurtina (meadow brown), 88 nucleotides long. RefSeq lists it as uncharacterized. The record is from RefSeq and is a predicted model, not a curated record. The transcript is spliced from 3 exons. Lineage: Eukaryota; Metazoa; Arthropoda; Insecta; Lepidoptera; Nymphalidae.